This 253-nucleotide ribosomal RNA is filed under the name uncultured bacterium. RNAcentral's name for it is "partial 16S ribosomal RNA". It matches the Rfam family "Bacterial small subunit ribosomal RNA", at positions 524 to 776 of the family's 1533-position model. The record is from RNAcentral.
GACGUAGGACGCGAGCGUUGUCCGGAUUUAUUGGGCGUAAAGAGCUCGUAGGCGGCUUGUUGCGUCGACCGUGAAAACCCGCGGCUUAACUGUGGGCGUGCGGGCGAUACGGGCAGACUGGAGUACUGCAGGGGAGACUGGAAUUCCUGGUGUAGCGGUGGAAUGCGCAGAUAUCAGGAGGAACACCGGUGGCGAAGGCGGGUCUCUGGGCAGUAACUGACGCUGAGGAGCGAAAGCGUGGGGAGCGAACAGG